GGCAGCUGUGUCUGGGCGGAGCUUGUACUGUACAAAAUGGCGGCGCAUGGAUUGCUGAGAGAGACUGAGUUCCAGAGCAGCAUGGCAGUGGUCAGCAGCACAUGGCGCUACUGUGCCGGCCGGAUGGCGCGCUACAAGAGCAGGGCGAGUUCUUCUGAAGAAGGGGCGGCGUGUUUACUUCCCCGGUGAUGAGUAGGAGCUCGAAUCUGCAGGCUACGGGUGCAGCACUGAGGUCAUGGAUUCAAUCCCCACCAUAGCCCUGGGUUUUUUUUUUUUUUUUUCUCUCUGCAUAUAAAGUCCCCAUUGUGGUCAUACUUGCCCACCCUGCAUGAUUCCUGCAUGUCUUUGAAACAACAAGACCUUGACAACAAUAGUCGUUUUGGUGACAUGAGGCCUGUUUCUGUGUUAGGAGCUGCUGUGAACAAUCUGGAACACUUCAUGUGAUGCUGGACACGUCUUAAAAUAAUAUGGAUUUGCUGUGAAGCAGUCUGCAAGAUGCUGAUGAAGUGCAGCAAUGUGGAUUCCAGUGUGACAGAUGCUACUAAUACCUGAAUCUUUUGUGGUCGAUGCUCUGCAAGGUACAGCUGCAGAUUGGCCUUGCUUGGAGAACCUACUGGAAAAAUAUUCCACCUGCUGUGUACAGGAAGAACUUAUCCUUGUUAUCCCAUUGGAAGUGACAACCUUAUUCUCGUGUGGGCUUUGGCUUGACUUCGGUAGUUAUGUAUAUACCAAAAUAAAGAAAUUCUUCUAUAAAAAUAUAUUAAAAUGUAUGUCUUUG
Pseudophryne corroboree (corroboree frog) is the source of this 778-nucleotide long non-coding RNA. RefSeq lists it as uncharacterized. The record is from RefSeq and is a predicted model, not a curated record. The transcript is spliced from 5 exons. NCBI's taxonomy places the organism in Eukaryota, Metazoa, Chordata, Amphibia, Anura, Myobatrachidae.